UGGUGGGUAGUUUGACUGGGGCGGUCUCCUCCUAAAGAGUAACGGAGGAGCACGAAGGUUGGCUAAUCCUGGUCGGACAUCAGGAGGUUAGUGCAAUGGCAUAAGCCAGCUUGACUGCGAGCGUGACGGCGCGAGCAGGUGCGAAAGCAGGUCAUAGUGAUCCGGUGGUUCUGAAUGGAAGGGCCAUCGCUCAACGGAUAAAAGGUACUCCGGGGAUAACAGGCUGAUACCGCCCAAGAGUUCAUAUCGACGGCGGUGUUUGGCACCUCGAUGUCGGCUCAUCACAUCCUGGGGCUGAAGUAGGUCCCAAGGGUAUGGCUGUUCGCCAUUUAAAGUGGUACGCGAGCUGGGUUUAGAACGUCGUGAGACAGUUCGGUCCCUAUCUGCCGUGGGCGCUGGAGAACUGAGGGGGGCUGCUCCUAGUACGAGAGGACCGGAGUGGACGCAUCACUGGUGUUCGGGUUGUCAUGCCAAUGGCACUGCCCGGUAGCUAAAUGCGGAAGAGAUAAGUGCUGAAAGCAUCUAAGCACGAAACUUGCCCCGAGAUGAGUUCUCCCUGAGACUUUAGGUCUCCUGAAGGAACGUUGAAGACGACGACGUUGAUAGGCCGGGUGUGUAAGCGCAGCGAUGCGUUGAGCUAACCGGUACUAAUGAACCGUGAGGCUUAAC
Molecule: ribosomal RNA, 669 nt
Filed under: Salmonella enterica subsp. enterica serovar Derby
Lineage: Bacteria; Pseudomonadati; Pseudomonadota; Gammaproteobacteria; Enterobacterales; Enterobacteriaceae
Also listed under: 1 other name
Description: partial 23S ribosomal RNA
Rfam family: Bacterial large subunit ribosomal RNA
Source: RNAcentral